RNAcentral lists this ribosomal RNA (443 nucleotides) under uncultured bacterium. RNAcentral's name for it is "partial 16S ribosomal RNA". It matches the Rfam family "Bacterial small subunit ribosomal RNA", at positions 338 to 795 of the family's 1533-position model. The record is from RNAcentral.
CCUACGGGAGGCAGCAGUGGGGAAUAUUGGGCAAUGGGCGCAAGCCUGACCCAGCAACGCCGCGUGAAGGAAGAAGGCUUUCGGGUUGUAAACUUCUUUUGUCAGGGACGAAGCAAGUGACGGUACCUGACGAAUAAGCCACGGCUAACUACGUGCCAGCAUCCGCGGUAAUACGUAGGUGGCAAGCGUUAUCCGGAUUUACUGGGUGUAAAGGGCGUGUAGGCGGGACUGCAAGUCAGAUGUGAAAACCACGGGCUCAACCUGUGGCCUGCAUUUGAAACUGUAGUUCUUGAGUACUGGAUAGGCAGACGGAAUUCCUAGUGUAGCGGUGAAAUGCGUAGAUAUUAGGAGGAACACCAGUGGCGAAGGCAGCAUACCGGCUCCAUACUGACGCUGAGGCACGAAAGCGUGGGGAUCGAACAGGAUUAGAUACCCGAGUAGUC